UACGUAGGGUGCGAGCGUUGUCCGGAAUUAUUGGGCGUAAAGGGCUCGUAGGCGGUCUGUCACGUCGGGAGUGAAAACUCGGGGCUCAACCCCGAGCCUGCUUCCGAUACGGGCAGACUAGAGGUAUGCAGGGGAGAAUGGAAUUCCUGGUGUAGCGGUGAAAUGCGCAGAUAUCAGGAGGAACACCGGUGGCGAAGGCGGUUCUCUGGGCAUUACCUGACGCUGAGGAGCGAAAGUGUGGGGAGCAAACAGG
Molecule: ribosomal RNA, 253 nt
Filed under: uncultured bacterium
Lineage: Bacteria
Description: partial 16S ribosomal RNA
Rfam family: Bacterial small subunit ribosomal RNA
Source: RNAcentral